This 496-nucleotide ribosomal RNA is filed under the name uncultured bacterium. Its description in RNAcentral is "partial 16S ribosomal RNA". It matches the Rfam family "Bacterial small subunit ribosomal RNA", at positions 29 to 507 of the family's 1533-position model. The record is from RNAcentral.
AUGAACGCUGGCGGCGUGCCUAAUACCUGCAAGUCGAGCGAACAGAUGAGGAGCUUGCUCCUCUGACGUUAGCGGCGGACGGGUGAGUAACACGUGGCUAACCUACCUAUAAUACUGGGAUAACUUCGGGAAACCGGAGCUAAUACCGGAUAAUAUCUUGAACCGCAUGGUUCAAUAGUGAAAGACGGUUUUGCUGUCACUUAUAGAUGGAUCCGCGCCGCAUUAGCUAGUUGGUAAGGUAACGGCUUACCAAGGCAACGAUGCGUAGCCGACCUGAGAGGGUGAUCGGCCACACUGGAACUGAGACACGGUCCAGACUCCUACGGGAGGCAGCAGUAGGGAAUCUUCCGCAAUGGGCGAAAGCCUGACGGAGCAACGCCGCGUGAGUGAUGAAGGUCUUCGGAUCGUAAAACUCUGUUAUUAGGGAAGAACAAAUGUGUAAGUAACUAUGCACGUCUUGACGGUACCUAAUCAGAAAGCCACGGCUAACUACGUG